AUGCGAUAAGUAGUGUGAAUUGCAGAAUUCCGUGAAUCAUCGAGUUCUUGAACGCACAUUGCGCCCCUUGGCAUUCCAAGGGGCAUGCCUGUCCGAGUGUCAUUACAAUCACUCAGGUUUGGAUUUAUCCACUUCCUGGUUUUGAUUACGGAGCAUUGUUGAUGUUCCAAUUCGAAAUGAAAUGGCGCAAAUGGUUGUCGGUUCUGUGUAAUAAGUUUUAUCCUUCACAAGUCGAUCCAUUAUUUGUCGCUCUGUAUUAUGACGCUCCUCCUUAUGACCCCAGGUCAAGCGGGGCUACCCGCUGAGUUUAA
This 311-nucleotide ribosomal RNA is filed under the name uncultured Pyronemataceae. Its description in RNAcentral is "eukaryotic LSU rRNA". The stretch from base 1 to 102 matches the Rfam family "5.8S ribosomal RNA", at positions 53 to 154 of the family's 154-position model. Lineage: Eukaryota; Fungi; Ascomycota; Pezizomycetes; Pezizales; Pyronemataceae. The record is from RNAcentral.